Long non-coding RNA from Hypanus sabinus (Atlantic stingray), 613 nucleotides. RefSeq lists it as uncharacterized. The transcript has 4 exons. Lineage: Eukaryota; Metazoa; Chordata; Chondrichthyes; Myliobatiformes; Dasyatidae. The record is from RefSeq and is a predicted model, not a curated record.
GGGGAGACCAUUUUGUUUGCUGCUGCAGAAGCUGUUGGGGCGUUGGAAUCAAGUUCCCCCAGAGGUGCUAGGCAUGAUUCCACCACUCAAUUUAUAAUGGCGUAUUCACCAAACGAGCUGUGUGUCUCAGUGAUGCAGGAGGAAAUGAGACCACCCAGAGGGGACCCAUGUGCAGGAAGAAGAUUCCAAUUCUAUUUGGACAACACCCAAGGUCAAGAUUGAACCUGGGGUCUGGCAUUCUGAGCCUGACAGAAUAUUUGGAUAUGGCCCAAGUAUGGAGAGAGAGAGAGACAAUAAAGUUCAUGAUUGAAAGAACUUCAUCUGCCUGUGGUUCCAAGGUUGUGACUCCCUGCUGCUUGUGACUGAGGAAAACAGAACAAAUCCUUCAACCACAGAUGUUUGUGCCAAACACGCGGUCAACCUAAGCUAAUUCUCUUUUACAGGAAAAUCCAUAUCCGUGAAGGUUCAGAGGUGACUGGAAGGAUUUUUUUUACUCUUUCUUUUUUCUUCCGAUUUUAUCCUCAAAUGGACUGCCCAAUCUUUCUUUUCUUUUUUUUCCUUUUUUUUGUUUCCAAUUUAGUUUAGCGGGUUUUUCCCCUUUAUAUAAAUAAAA